Molecule: ribosomal RNA, 457 nt
Filed under: uncultured bacterium
Lineage: Bacteria
Description: partial 16S ribosomal RNA
Rfam family: Bacterial small subunit ribosomal RNA
Source: RNAcentral
CCUACGGGAGGCAGCAGUAGGGAAUUUUCGUCAAUGGGCGCAAGCCUGAACGAGCGAUGCCGCGUGAGUGAAGAAGGCCUUCGGGUCGUAAAGCUCUGUUGCGGGGGAAAAAAGGCAGCAUCAGGAAAUGGGUGCUGACUGAUGGUGCCCCGCCAGAAAGUCACGGCUAACUACGUGCCAGCAGCCGCGGUAAUACGUAGGUGGCGAGCGUUAUCCGGAAUGAUUGGGCGUAAAGGGUGCGCAGGCGGUCCUGCAAGUCUGGAGUGAAACGCAUGAGCUCAACUCAUGCAUGGCUUUGGAAACUGGAGUGUGUGAGAGGAUAGUGGAAUUCCAGGUGUAGGAGUGAAAUCCGUAGAUAUCUGGAGGAACAUCAGUGGCGAAGGCGACUAUCUGGCACAUAACUGACGCUGAGGAGCGAAAGCGUGGGUAGCAAACAGGAUUAGAUACCCGGGUAGUC